CCUACGGGUGGCAGCAGUGGGGAAUAUUGCACAAUGGGCGCAAGCCUGAUGCAGCCAUGCCGCGUGUGUGAAGAAGGCCUUCGGGUUGUAAAGCACUUUCAGCGGGGAGGAAGGCGGUGAGGUUAAUAACCUCAUCGAUUGACGUUACCCGCAGAAGAAGCACCGGCUAACUCCGUGCCAGCAGCCGCGGUAAUACGGAGGGUGCAAGCGUUAAUCGGAAUUACUGGGCGUAUAGCGCACGCAGGCGGUCUGUCAAGUCGGAUGUGAAAUCCCCGGGCUCAACCUGGGAACUGCAUUCGAAACUGGCAGGCUAGAGUCUUGUAGAGGGGGGUAGAAUUCCAGGUGUAGCGGUGAAAUGCGUAGAGAUCUGGAGGAAUACCGGUGGCGAAGGCGGCCCCCUGGACAAAGACUGACGCUCAGGUGCGAAAGCGUGGGGAGCAAACAGGAUUAGAUACCCUUGUAGUC
This 465-nucleotide ribosomal RNA is filed under the name uncultured Klebsiella sp. RNAcentral's name for it is "bacterial SSU rRNA". It matches the Rfam family "Bacterial small subunit ribosomal RNA", at positions 338 to 795 of the family's 1533-position model. Lineage: Bacteria; Pseudomonadati; Pseudomonadota; Gammaproteobacteria; Enterobacterales; Enterobacteriaceae. The record is from RNAcentral.